UAGAGUUUGAAUCCUUGCUCAGGAUGAACGCUGGCGGCGUGCCUAAUACAUGCAAGUCGAACGCUUUGUGGUUCAACUGAUUUGAAGAGCUUGCUCAGAUAUGACGAUGGACAUUGCAAAGAGUGGCGAACGGGUGAGUAACACGUGGGAAACCUACCUCUUAGCAGGGGAUAACAUUUGGAAACAGAUGCUAAUACCGUAUAACAAUAGCAACCGCAUGGUUGCUACUUAAAAGAUGGUUCUGCUAUCACUAAGAGAUGGUNCCCGCGGUGCAUUAGUUAGUUGGUGAGGUAAUGGCUCACCAAGACGAUGAUGCAUAGCCGAGUUGAGAGACUGAUUCGGCCACAAUGGA
This 352-nucleotide ribosomal RNA is filed under the name Weissella cibaria. RNAcentral's name for it is "bacterial SSU rRNA". It matches the Rfam family "Bacterial small subunit ribosomal RNA", at positions 1 to 317 of the family's 1533-position model. The record is from RNAcentral. Lineage: Bacteria; Bacillati; Bacillota; Bacilli; Lactobacillales; Lactobacillaceae.